GCCUCUCUCUCAAAGCUCACGCCCAAUCUCUCUGCCAAACCUCGCCGCGCCGGUGACAGUCCCACGCCGGUGACAGUCCCUCUGCCAACCUCUGUUAAACGCACCAAAUCUCAGCAAACAAUUCUCAACAAUUGAGCCCUAAUUCGCACCACAAACAACCAGCUCCUUCAAACAAUUCGAACCAUCCAAUACGUUUAGGUUUUUUUCUCGAUUAAGCUCGGCUAACACGUCAAGUUCCACAGAUCCCUAAUUUAAGGUUUUUGCUUGAUUCUCAUAAAUUUCUUAUUUAUUUCGCAUGCUCUUCUUUUACUGGUUUUGCAAUUUCUCAACAGUUGAGCCCUAAUUCGCCUAUUUCAUUCCUCACUGAAGAAGAAUUUGCCGCUGGGUAGCUGUGGAAUAGAUAUCAUCGUAAGUUCCUUUACUGGUAGAUUAAUUGAUUUUAAUUUUAUUUUUGGGGUAUUUGAGCGAUGUACUGUUAUUGAUUGGAAAUACACAAUCUUUGUUGUGCUGUGAUCUUUUUUCUGGGGGAAUAUUGUGCUGAUAAUUUCACUGAUAGACUAUGGCUAUCCGUAGCUUGUCCUUUCCUUGCUCUAACAUGAAUAUAGUCCUUUGGUCGCAUAGGAGGCUUUUGAUUUUGAGUUUCAUGACCUUCAUUAUUUCCCUUUGAUUCCUCCAUGUUAACUGCUCCAUUUUCUGUCUCAUUACCUUCUACUUCUUGUUUACAUCUCUUUGUUCUUGCAUUAUCAUCACCUUCACCUCCCUAAAAUUAAAAUUUGAUUAGCCACUAAUUGCAUUAGUUAAGCAAAUCAAGAUUAUUUUGACUUCAUAAUAAUCCUAACCAUGUUUCCAUUAGCGGGGAGAGCUUCUUUUGUUUCCUCUUGAAGAGUUGUUUUUCUUUUUCUAGUAGAAUUCAAUUCAGUUGGUGUUUUUGGCCCUGUUUCUCCACUUGGCUCUGAAAUAGACUCAUUAGAAUUAGUGAUAGGCCUGCCCAAAUUUGUAGACAUCAAUUCCAUCCUUGUUUGGCCCGAAUUAUUGAUUUGCAAAGGGGAUCCAGCUUGUUUCAGAGAAGGGCUACUUGAAACUCUAGGCAAUUUUCCAUUCCCCAAUUGUUGAGCAGAUCUAUGUGUCAAUUCCCCCAAUGGACUUGUUCUACCGUUACAA
RNAcentral lists this long non-coding RNA (1161 nucleotides) under Nicotiana tabacum (common tobacco). RNAcentral describes it as "long non-coding RNA (NTAB_LNC012032)". The record is from RNAcentral. Lineage: Eukaryota; Viridiplantae; Streptophyta; Magnoliopsida; Solanales; Solanaceae.